ACGGCUCAGUAACACGUGGACAACCUACCCUCAGCACGGGGAUAAACCCGGGAAACUGGGUAUAAUACCCGAUAGUUCUGGGAUGCUGGAAUGCUUCCAGGACGAAAGCUCCGGCGACUGAGGAUGGGUCUGCGGCCUAUCAGGUAGUAGUGGGUGUAAUGUACCUACUAGCCUACGACGGGUACGGGUCGUGAGAGCGAGAGCCCGGAUAUGGAUUCUGAGACACGAAUCCAGGCCCUACGGGGUGCAGCAGGCGCGAAACCUUUACAAUGCUGGCAACAGCGAUAAGGGGACCUCGAGUGCCAGGAUACAAUCUUGGCUGUCGUGAUGCCUAAAAAGCAUUACAUAGCAAGGGCCGGGCAAGACCGGUGCCAGCCGCCGCGGUAACACCGGCGGCUCGAGUGGUAACCGCUAUUAUUGGGUCUAAAGGGUCUGUAGCCGGCCGGAUAAGUCUUUUGGGAAAUCCAGCUGCUCAACAGUUGGGCUUUCAGAAGAUACCGUUCGGCUCGAGGCCGGGAGAGGUGAGAGGUACUUCAGGGGUAGGGGUGAAAUCUUGUAAUCCUUGAAGGACCACCAGUGGCGAAGGCGUCUCACCAGAACGGUCCUGACGGCAAGGGACGAAAGCUAGGGGCACGAACCGGAUUAGAUACCCGGGUAGUCCUAGCCGUAAACGAUACUCGCUAGGUGUCAGCCACGGUGCGACCGUGGUUGGUGCCGUAGGGAAGCCGUGAAGCGAGCCACCUGGGAAGUACGGCCGCAAGGCUGAAACUUAAAGGAAUUGGCGGGGGAGCAC
This 793-nucleotide ribosomal RNA is filed under the name uncultured archaeon. RNAcentral's name for it is "bacterial SSU rRNA". It matches the Rfam family "Archaeal small subunit ribosomal RNA", at positions 85 to 879 of the family's 1478-position model. The record is from RNAcentral.